GUCACAGUGUGAAAGGUGGCUGCGGAGGUACCCGGGCUGCAAAGACGGAAUCUGGCCCAGUGUGCGAAUCUGGCCCAGUGUGCAAAUCUGGCCCAGCGUACAAAGACUGGCCCAGUGUACAAAUCUGGCCCAGUGUACAAAUCUGGCCCAGUUGUACAAAUCUGGCCCAGUGUACAAAGACUGGCCCAGUGUACAAAUCUGGCCCAGUGUACAAAUCUGGCCCAGUGUACAAAGACUGGCCCAGUGUACAAAUCUGGCCCAGUGUACAAAUCUGGCCCAGUGUACAAAGACUGGCCCAGUGUACAAAUCUGGCCCAGUGUACAAAUCUGGCCCAGUGUACAAAGACUGGCCCAGUGUACAAAUCUGGCCCAGUGUACAAAUCUGGCCCAGUGUACAAAGACUGGCCCAGUGUACAAAUCUGGCCCAGUGUACAAAUCUGGCCCAGUGUACAAAGACUGGCCCAGUGUACAAAUCUGGCCCAGUGUACAAAUCUGGCCCAGUGUACAAAGACUGGCCCAGUGUACAAAUCUGGCCCAGUGUACAAAUCUGGCCCAGUGUACAAAGACUGGCCCAGUGUACAAAUCUGGCCCAGUGUACAAAUCUGGCCCAGUGUACAAAGACUGGCCCAGUGUACAAAUCUGGCCCAGUGUACAAAUCUGGCCCAGCGUACAAACACUGGCCCAGUGUACACAUCUGGCCCAGUGUACAAAUCUGGCCCAGUGUACAAAGACUGGCCCAGUGUACAAACAGCGGAUUGCUAAGGUGACUGAGACCACAUUAAUUCUUUCAACACUUAUGGGACGACGCUGUAUAACCGAUGAGCGUUCUAUUCAUUCAUUUCUUAUUGAACAGGGAUUCAGCUUCACAAGAGACUCUCCCAGGGCCUCGUCUAGGCUUCAUAGAUACUUGGAGAAAUCAGAUGACUUUAAGAAGUUCAGAAUGUAGCAGAGAGACAAAUCUAAACAAAAGAGCAAUAUCAUGUGUUGACGACUCCGCACAGGUGGCACAAGUGCUUUGGGAGUGAAGAAGGGAGAGUGGAAACUUCUCAGGGUCCAGGGAUAGAACGAAGGAAGGAAGACUUUUGUUGGAAAUUUAUACCCCCAAUAAUCAGGAUCGAUUUUUUUCUAGCCCCCCCCCAAUAAAUGUCCUCUGUAGAACUAAUUUGCUUGCCAUGCAGAUGGAGCUGUAGGGCAGAUCCUCGGCUCUCGGCUUUCAGCCAGAGCUGGAGUGUAUGGGUGGAGGAGGUUGGUGACAUGCCAGUGUCCUUGAAGAGACGCUACCUGAACUGAAAUGGGGAGAGUCCACCUGAAGAAUCAAUGCGAACUCCCCGAAGAACAGGCCAAGGAUGUGCAGGCGCAGGGUUGCAUGUGCAAAGUCCCUGAGAGCUUAAACCAGUUACUCUUGAAGUAUAAAAUUCAGUUCAUGUAAUUGAGUUAAAGAUAGACUUGUAGUUAGGAUUUAUACCUUCCAUUUUUUUAAUGAUAUCUUUAACUUCUAUUUUAAGAGAUACAUGAGCAGUCCUAUGAGAAAGAAUAAUUAACAUCAGAAAAAGUGGGUAUUCUGAAGAGAGCUUAAAAAUGAUGAAAACAGAAAAUCAAAUGCCUAUUAAAAGUACCAGCACAGUGCAGUGUAGAGUGAUGGAAAGAGCCCUGGACGGAGACAGGGACUUUGCUCUUGGUUCAUGAAGAGUACGGACUGGUCAUGUCCUAAGUUCCAGGCACCGUCCUAAAUACUAGGACAUAAUAAAGCAUGCAAAUCAAUGAAACAAGUAACAUAGGGAAAUAGAAGGUGGAUAAGAGGAGUACCUGGCACAAUGUGCUAUACGAGGGCUUGGUAUUAAAACAGAAAUUCUAUUUCAACCACCCUCUUAUACGCAGUGCCACAUCCUUUAUGUAUAGGCAUGUGGCACCAUAUAUAUGGAAGAAGGUGAUUGACCUAGCACUAUAUCUAGAGAAGCCAAGCUUGAAUGAACUGGCUAAAAUCACUGUCCUUUUCUGUUCAUGUUCCACUGAUUGCUCCAUCACUUGACUGAAAUGGCUCCUGCUAAAUUUUAAAAUGACGUCCUUCUUAGUAAGCCGCAAAUAUUUUUCAGGUUUCAUUAAUCCUAAAUGCUCCACAGGAUUUGUUGACUGCCCUUUCUUCCUUGGAUUCUGCAACUGUAGAUGCUCUCUUGAUUUAACUGCCUCUCUGGCCACUGAUUCUUGGUCUCCUCUCUGAAGGUUUAGUCUAAGACCAUUUCUUUUGUCUUAAAAGUGAUGUUCUCCAAGCCCCUGGCUUUAGUUGCAACCUAGAAGUGAUUCUCAAGAUUGUUUCUUCCAUUCAGAGCUUUUUUUCCUGGACUCCAGACUCCUGUAUCCACUGCUUACUUGUCAUUUUCGCAUUAGGAUAUUUCAUACAGGUCUUAGAUGGAAAUGCCCCAAAUUGAAUCUCAUUACCUUUCUCACAAGCCUGGUUCACUCUAUUUCGGUCUUGGUAACAGCCUCCAAAUAGUUGCUCAAGCCAGAAAACUGGGCAUUAUCAUUGACCAUGACGUCUUCAGAGUUCUGAUUUUAUCUCCUAGAAAUCUCGCAAGUGGGAUCACUUGUUUCCAUCCCUUUCCAGUAAAUUGUUAAUAUUCUGAUAUUAGGAUAUUUACUCCCUAAUCCAAUAGUCUGUCUUCUGGGUUAUUCUAACAGUCUCUUAGUUGUUCUCCUUACAUUUACUUCUGGGAUAUAAUGGGCAGAGUCACUUUUAAAAUCACAAAUCUACUUAAAAUCCUUAAGUAGGUCUCCUGUCUCUCUUGGGAUGAAAACCCACAUCUUUACCAUCAGUUAACAGAUUCUUCAAGGUCUGGUUCCUGCUUGUUCUCAGCCUCAUCUCCUGCUCCCUUUCCCCUCUGUGUUCCAGCCACAUCAGGCUUCCUCACAUCAUUAAAUUUGUCUUGUUAACUGUACUCUCUGCACCAUCAUACAAAUGGUUCCUUUUGCCUGACACCUUCAGUCCUCUUGUUAUUUUUCCUUUUACUUAGUUAACUUUUACUCAUGGUUCAGACCUCACCUCAAAAUUUAUAUAGAGAAGCCUUAUCUGACUCCCAGACUAAAUAGAGCCUUUCUUAAAUAUUCUUUAAUAGCUCCUUUUGUCUCUGACCUCAGUGACUUUGGAAACACAUGCUAAAGAUGGCAGAGGUUCAAUAGCCAGGCUUCCCAAAUGGCUCAGGGAAACAGAGCCCUUCCUGCCAAUGUGGAACCACAGGAGCCCUUCCUGCCAGUGUGGAGUGAGCAAGACAUUUCUUUUGCUGAACUAUUGCAUAUUUGAGCCACUUUCUUACAUGUUCGUUAAAACAAAUAGGUGAAUGAAUUCUAAACAGCAUUUUCAAAAGUAUGAUUAGUGACCCAUUUGGCUUUCUGUGGUUUGUAGAAAAUGAGCAGUGUUUAUACUUCAUGAAUUCAGUUUGCCGAAUGCUUUUUUUGGUGUGUGUUUCCAAUAUGUCCGUCAUAGUUCAAGACACUGGGAAGAAAGGAUGGUUAAAACAUGCUGUUGUCCUCAAGAAACUUUGUGGAGAACAGACAUGAAAACAAAAGUUGAAGAUACAGUGGCAACUGUCACUUUAGAAACAUCCAUUAGGAGGGACCAGUAUAGAGAAGGUAGAGGUUAAUUCGGUUAAUUGUGGUUAAUUCAGUAUGGGAAUGAUGAGUGGAGGGAAUGGAAAGUCUGACCUAGAAACGUCCUUGUCAAAAGAUUGUCCACGCUCGUGUGUGCGUCGUGGUGCCUGGGUUCUACCAUCCAUUCCCUUUCCCUAAAGCUUCAGAUCUCUGAGUGUCCUUGACAAGAAGAGAUGGGGGGUGGGGGUUGGGGGGACGUAGGGAGGGGAUGGACCGGGAGGUUGUGGUUAGUGGAUACAAACAAUUACAUUUGGAAUGGAUGAGCAGUGAGGCCCUGCCGUGUAGCACAGGGAACCCUAUCCAGCCUCUUGGAAGAUGACUUGAUGGGGAAAGAAUAUGAUAAAAAGAAUGUACAUAAAUGUAUGUAUGUAUGACCGGGUCACUUUACUGUACAGCAGAAGUUGAUAAGACUGUAAAUCAACUAUAAUUUAAAGAAAAAAAGGCUGUUUUGUCCCCUAGUGGAUGACAUGACAAUACACCAUGGUAGUAAAUUUUAGGUGACAGUGGGAGGCGAGUAGAAAUGGGCGAAAGUGCCGAAGGUGGUGAGUAUGUCUCCGUAGCUUGGGCUGCUGCUUUAGUUCCUUGGAAGGCCUAAGUAGGAACACAGGUAAAUGAUCCAUCGUACGAGGACGUGCGAAGAGGAAGGGACAUACCAGACAGCAGUUUUUGGAAGGUAUGUAGAGAGAAACCUUUACCAGGCUGCUUUGUCCCUUUAAGAUUCUCUCUCUGUUUAACUACAUGUCCCUGAUUUUCUGGGUCAAACCCAAUUUUAAAUAUUCUAUUUUGUUGUCCUUAUGUGACUUUGAGGCCUCUUCCAAAUAGUUAUUUGAAAUAUGGGAACCAAUGUUGCCUUCUCUUAAAGAGAAAGUGUGGAUACUAAGUAAUUUUGAAAUAAGGGCAACGUAUUUCUACAUAAAAAUGCAAAUUUGACCUAUGUGGUUAUAAAGGAAGCCAUUGUAAAGAAAUAUGAAGCCAGAAGGUGGGCCAGUGAUGCUGGAACAUUCAUGAAAAACAGUGCCAGGUAAUCCUGGGAAGGAACUGUUUUUAAAUUUAAUUUUUUAAAUGACUUUUAUUUUUUCCAGUGUAGAUUUUUUAAAAAAACUUAUUACUAUUUUUUUUUUGUCUUUUUGCCUUUUUCGAAGGCUGCUCCUGAAGCAUAUGGAGGUUCCCAGGCUAGGGAUCUAAUCAGAGCUGUAGCUGCCAGCCUACACCACAGUCACAGCAACCGUGGGAUCCGAGCCACAUCUGUGACCUACACCACAGCUCACGGCAAUGCCGGAUCCUUAACCCACUGAGCAAGGCCAGGGAUCGAACCUGCAGCCUCAUGGUUCCUAGUCAGAUUCGUUAACCACUGCACCACGACGGGAACUCCCUUAUUACUAUUAUUUUUUAUGAUUUUUAUUUUUCCCGUUAUAGUUGGGAAGAUGUUUAUUAAUCAUAAUCAAAACUGCAAAGACUUCAUAUCCCAACCUUCAGUCACCCCAUGGCUAUGUCUACUGGUGCAUCCUAAGCAAUGUGAAAAGAUAACACGGUCUUGACAGGAUACAGAAGCCAAGGUUUUAGUCGAACGCUUUUCUCUUUUUCGUCCUGGGGGGUGACCCAGUGGGAAUCCAAAAGGAAUGGCAAUACUGUGCAAGUGGGAGGAGAGAGUAUCGCCCCAUGAAGGUUUUCCUUCUUCCUGGUGGUGGGGUGGGGGGCAGGCUGGGUGAAAGAGAUGACGGUGAAUGCUGCCCAGACCUGAGUUCUGCCACCAACCACCAAGAGCCAAGAAAGUUCUUCCUGCACAAUUAAAAUAGGCAAAUCAUAGCUGCUUUUUCUUUCUGUGAGGAUUACAUGAGACCCACCUGUGAGCCAAGGGGCGCUCAAAAUCGUGGAGAAGGGAAAAGAACCACGAAGUAUGGAUUAGUCGAAGCGAGGCACACAGACACUGGAGAGGGAGGAAAUCUACUUCAGAGCAAAGUUAGAGAGGGCAGAGGGCCAAACCCAGCUUUUGCACUCUGGCUUUGGCCGGCUCUGGGGUCUGUCCUUAGCAAAUGGGAGCUUGAGAAAAGAAGACAGGAAAAGAAAAGCUGGUGAAUUAAGGGAGCAAGGCAGUGGGGGGGAAAAACAGAGAAAGGACUAGUGGAGAGAAAAGAAAUGUGAAAAAGAGCGUAAAGGGGAAAAGUCAGGUCAGUUUGUCCAUUUGGUCUUCUGUUAGCCAGAGGGCAGAAGGAAGAGAGAAGCUAAGGAAAAUGCAACAGCUUGGGAAUGGAGAGGAGAGCGGUGGGGGGAUUCCGAGGGUUUUGAGUGUGGAUUUGCUUCAUAAGGAAUGAGAGCUGGUGCCUGGGGAGGGACUAGGGGCUGGGACCCCAAAUCGUAGUUCAACUGGGAAGAACCCAGGAGGUGUAUCUGCCGUCAUUCAAAUCCACAGAAAGAGUCUGCUGUGAACCUGAGAUGACAGAGACCAUGGGUGUGUUUUGCAGGCUGCCUCAGAAGGAAAAGCACGGGGCACUGUGGCGAUUGCCCCAAGCUCAAGCCAAGGCCAAAGCCCGGGACUGCUAGUUCUCUUCAGGGUCGACACAGGGGAUGUAGGUCCUAUGGCAAUUUCACCGGAAAACAAAACAAAACGAAACGAUGACUGGUGGACGUUCCAUUAACGGUAGCAGAGAGAUGUGGCAUUAGGAUAGGAAAACAGAACAGGGUGAAUACAAAGCUGUGGAGAGGAGCAGGAGCACCCCACCUCCUCGUCGCUUUUAACCCAGAACAGAAAUGUGUCCUGGCUCUUGCUGGAAUACCCAGAGGUGUCCUUGACAUGCAUGCCAGCAAGUCAUGGGAGAAGGAAAGGCCUGAAGACAAGUCCUAGCUAAGGGCAAGGCAGCAUGAGGGGUUUAGGAAUAAAGGAAUCCUUAAGUGUUUUGGGGUGGGUGCCCCCUCAAAAAGGUUGCUACUUGGGUACUUAUGGGGGAGAUGGUGGAAAUUAUUAUUGAUUGAAUGGGGGAAAUUAUUACCAAAGCAUACUGCUUUUGUCUCUUGAAAAUGGAUUUGAAGGUAUAGCAGGAAUUUAGGUAAGCUAGUCAUAAAGAAGAAUGGAAAUAAAAAUGCUGGGAGAACGUUCUUUUUAGAGACAAAAGGAAAACCGCUACUCAAGAAGAGAAGCCAGAGUUGGAAGUCCAUUAAAGAAGAAAGAAAAGAUUGGGAAUAAAGAACCCCCAGAGAAGCCAAUAUAAGGAAAGACUGGGGAAAAAAAAAAGAGACAAAAAUAACGGACUUUUCCAUACUUGGGUUCUAAGUUU
Molecule: long non-coding RNA, 6913 nt
Filed under: Sus scrofa (pig)
Lineage: Eukaryota; Metazoa; Chordata; Mammalia; Artiodactyla; Suidae
Description: lncRNA (ENSSSCG00060007618.1)
Source: RNAcentral